CAGCUCCGGCAAGCUGAGAGUUGCUUCCCUAUUUCUCGAUAUGGGCAAGAUGCCUCUGCUUUCUUCCACAAUUCCUUUGCCCUUAUUUCCCACCAGAUGGAUCAACAAUACUUUCAACUCAUCAAGAACAAAAUUCUUGAGGCUGGCGGUGACCACAAUCAACUUUUCUCAUAUACAAGUCCUCAUCUCAUCCUUGAAUCCUUUCAAUUCUUCAGAAUUCCAACGGCAAUUACCUGCAAUUCUUGCAAUUGCUCUUCGAACUCUGCCAAUUUCACAGCGUGAGCACUAACAAUAUGAGAUCUAGUCAUCUUGCUACUCCAAUGCACCACUUUCAGUCAGAAUCAACUGCGCUCUGAUACCAAAUGCUAGGAAUCCCUAACAGAUCUGGUAGUCCCAGUGAUAGUUACUAGAAUAACAGAAAGAGAGAGAAGAGAAAGUGAGGGAGAGAGAAUUUUAGGAGGGAAAAACAGUUAACUUUAUUGAUGAAUGAUUGCCCUGAAUAGGCCUUUCCAGCUGUUUAUAUACAAGUCAGCUAGCUAAAACAAUUGCUCCCGCCCAAACGCUUACUUAUUUCUAUACCUAGUUCUUCUACAUGUCACAUAUUGAUAUUAUGAGUAUGAAUGAAAUAUUGAUAUUAUAAUGAUGUUUAUUGAUUUAAGUGUCAAUUACUAGUUUUGGUGUCAAACAAUUAUUUUUUCUAACUACUGCUGUGUGCAUUUGGCCCCUUUCCCCUUUGACAAACAUGCCAUUAAUUAAGAUAAGAAAAUGACUAAAUAGAAAAAACUACAUGUGUCUUCAUAUAACUUUCUUUUCCUUUCAUUAAUUUUUAUUUUUAGCUUAAAUUGUCAACAGACGAACAGAUAAUGCAGGAUCGGAUGUAGACAAGAGAAGGCUUUAGAUUCCAAUACUCCCAAGCAAAUGAAUGAUGCCAAUGGAACUACAAAUUCAAGUCCAAGAGGGCAAGGCAUAGUGUGUAUAAGAAGGGUACAGGUACAACAAAUCAGAAAGAAAACAAAAAAAAUUAGUACAAUUCCAUAGGCUUUAUGGAAUUCUAAUAACAACGAGAUCAAUCACCAUUUCCCAGAUUAUAGAAACUUAACUUAGUGCAAAGAAUGGUUCAUCCUGGAAAAAUAAAAGCACUCAUUUCUUCUAGAUACUCUUAAUCAAGAAACCUUCCAACUCAAACACUAUACCAAGGAUACAUUAGGGUUUCAGAAACCCAACCAAAGAAUGUGCAGAGGAAAGAAGAAUAGAGAGAGUUUAGGUAGAAAAGAAAAAUGAGAAUUCGUUAGAAGAUAAUAGAAAGUAUUAUUCUUGAUAAUUCUGGAAUGAAUUACAAUAAAGGUCACUGAGUUUGUUAGCAGCAAUAAAGACAAUGUGCAGGUGACUGCAUACUGAAUCUCAAUACAAGUGAAAGAACUCAAAUUAAGACAAACACAGCAGUACAAUAAUGAAAAUAGAAUUGCAUGGAUAAGCCUAAACCAAGCAGAAGUGUUAGCAAACCAAGGGUUGGAACAUCCUCUAAGAACCUUCAACUUUUUUUAUUUAAUACGUAUUGAAAGUUUUAUCCCAUGAAACCAAACUAGAAAAAUAAUAAUAACUUUGAAGUUAAACCAAGUGUCAUAAAACAAGAAUUUCCUAACGGGAAAAAUAAAAAUAAAACAACUAAAAUUAGGUGCAAAACUUACAAUGAUUCGGCCUUCAAUUCUCAGAUCCUUCUACUCAAAAAGCCAUAUUUGAAUGCGGGCUUUCUAUGAGAACCACAUAAAAAAGAGAGAGAAGAAGAAGCAAGUAUUAAGCUUCCCAUUAAGGACAACCUAAUUUAAGCAAACCCAAAUGAGUAAAAGAAUAGAAUAAGCGAAGAACUGACUUACACUUUGAAGAAACCUGAAAAUCAGGUUCUGAUGCAGCAUAUCCCAGUAAGCACAAAGUAAAGCAACAAAUGAGAGGAGGAAGGAGACAAAAAAGCCACAAAUAAAAGUUGGGGGUUAAAGACAACAAGAAGCAUAAGUGUUAAACGUACAAUGGGUUGGGUUAUAAUCCUUUGGACCUUGGUACUAGCCAUGUUGAUGAGCUCUGGAGGAUUCCGGAGGCAAAGAGAAAGUUGAGUUGGAGAGAAGUGCAACCCUAGAACGAUUUGAGCCAAGAGGCAAAUUAGUCAUAUUUUUCUAACCAAAUAGAUUUUUUUUUAGCCAAACCAAAUAGAUAUUUUGUUUUGAGUAAUAUGCGGGGGGAUAAAUUACUCUAAGCUCUCUAUGGUUUGUUAAAAUUAGUUACACAAUACAUAUUUUAAAAAAAUAAUUAAAACAUUUAUUUUAAUUUUAACUACAGAAAUAACAUAAUAUAUAGCAAGCCUAGUCUGGUUUGAUCCAAUGGUAAAAAGAAAUAUUACUCACUUAGGAGACUCAGGCUCAAGUCUGAUACCCCCAAUCCCCUACUUAAAAAUAUAUAUAUAUAGAAAAAAUUACAGAUAUUAAAUAAUAAGAUUCUUAAAAUUACAACAGAUUAAAAGAUAUAAAUAUUAAAAACUAAAAAAAAAAUAUAAUUAAUAUGCCCUUAACAAAAUUAUUAAAGGAUUUGAUUUUAAAAGUAUCACUAUGUUUUAAUUGGGCUUUAAAAAGAUAACAACUAAUGAUUAAUUUUAGCACAAUAUAAAAAUGUGUCAAUAAUUUAUCCUGUGAACCAAAAAUGGCUAACAAAUUGAUAUGGACAAAUCACAGUUACAUUCUUUUUUUCCUUUUUUGAAUAAGUUAAGUUGUUGAAUAUUGGCUUAUUAAUAAUUUGAUUAUCUUAUUUUCUUUUUAAAAAAAAAAAUCAUAGCUUCUUUAUCACUUACAUAUAGAUCAUUUCAUUCCGUUCUUUUUUUUAAGGCUCCUUCUGUUUCCUAGGAAAUAUUUUUCAAGAAAAUGUUUUCUACAUUUGUUGGUAUUUGAGGCACUCAAAAAAAUUAGUCUCACAUAAAAUAUUUUUCUAGUUAAAAGAAAAAUUAACUUAUUUUACAGAAAAUGACUUCCUCUUUUGAGAAUCUUAUUAACACCUUUAUAUAUAAAAUUGUCAAUAUAUUUUAUUUUUUAAAUUAAUAAACAAUGAAAAAUAAGUCAUUUUAUUAGAAAUUUUUUCAAUGAAAACAUUUUCCACCGGAAAAUAUUUUUCAAAUGCAAGUUAUGUUCCACAAACAAACGGCGCCUUAAUUUUGCGAUUAGAAAACCCUAAAAAUAACAAAAGUGUUUUUACUUAAAAUUCCUAAAACCAUUUGAAUUCACAAAUAAAUGUUUGAUUAAUACAAGUGCCAGUAAAUACUUUGCAUACUGAAACCCAUAAAAUUCGGAUAGCUUCAUACAUUCGUCACUCUUUUUAAUUAUAAACAAAGAUUCACACAAACUUUAAGCACAAAACUGAACAGGAGCUGAGACAUAAAAGAACGAAAUAAAAGAAUAAAGUGAAGUUUUUGUAUUUGAUUGCCAAUCAUUUUUUGCAUGCUAUGGUAUCUAUUCAUGCAGUAAACCAAAGAGAUGUUACUGAGGAAAAGGACAGUUAGAAGGAAGAAUAAAUUUAAAAGUCACCUUCAUCAUGAAGGAAUGAAGACAUGAAGCUAAAGAAAAAUGUUUUAUAAAGCUCAUUUUUACAUUUAAGUCAUUACUUUUCAUCCAUUUUCUCAAAGCAUUUUUUUAUUUCUAUCUUUCUUCUUUUCAAAUCACACUCUAAGAAAACAGAUUUUUUGUGGGGAAAGUUUUCCACAUUAUAUCUUGAAUUACACCACUAUAAAAAUUUGUAGUGAAUAUAAAAUUAGUCACAACGUUGCCAUUAGAAGUGUGAAACAAAAGAUCACAGUGGUGAAAUUAUUUCACCACAAAAGCUAUAUUUUCUAUGGGGAAAUAUGAUCCAUUAAAAAUAUAGUUUAUUAGAGAAAAGUUUUCCCACUAAAAAUAAAACUUUUGCAGCGAAAAUCUUCCCCACUAAAAGAUAUGACUUUUGCAGCAAAACUUUUCUUCAUUAAAAGUUUGUCGAUUUGUGGGAAAUUUUUCCCCACUAAAGCAUAUCAUUAUAAUAAAAUAGUUACAAUUGAUUUAGUCAUAGGAGUUUGCUUACAUAUAAUUUAGUAGUUGCCUAUUUAUUAAUACUCAUUUUAUUAAAUCAAUUGAUUAAUAUGAGAAAUAAUAGAUCACCUUAAAAGUAUAUGGUUUCCAUUAUAAAAGAUAUGGAUAUUAAUGUACAAAGAUUUGGGACGACUCCAACCCCUGACUAUAAAAGAUCUCAAUAUGAGGGUUACAAUGAUUCAGUUGAGUUUUGAGUCAACAAUAGCACCUCUAUGGAUGCACUAGUUCUGAUGUGAUAACCAUCUGUCAGAAGUUGACAUUCAGAAUAGACAAAAGCAAGAAAAUUCUCUUAGAACAAUGAGUAAUAUUCUGGCCUCCACCUCUGUUUGUCUUGUCCAGAUGUUCAAACAGAAGCAUUUGUCAAUAUGAAAUACACCAACUUCCAUGCACAUAGUCCAAAAAAUAAAUGAUGCUUUAGGUUCAUUAGUUAGCUAUUGUGUUAAGCGUAAUUGCCCCAAAAAACAAGUGAGCAAAGACAGCUUUCUUAGAAUCUAUGUUUUGGAUUUUUACAAGGUUCCUUUUAACUUCAUCUAUAUUUUAUAGUCAUUUCUUAUUUGUUUUCUUUUGCAUCGAAUUGGAACCUGCAGGUUCAAGUUUUUGCUCUUUCUCAUUGGUAAUCAACUCAUUUUUCAUACUUUUCAUUGAAUUUGCUGUCUUUCAAGUAAAGAAUCCAUGUUAAUCUCAUCAGAAAUGGUAAAUAAAACAUGUCAAGCUCCAAUGGGAUUUUGGCAUUAUCAAUUUAACCAUCAAACUGAAAAAAGAAAAAUCAAAAGGAAUUUUCUUGAUCUAAGACUAUAUAGACACAUGGGUACCUAUUACCUAAACUAAUCUUGUGUUCCUAAACUGAUAAAUUUUGAAUUAAAAAAAAAUCAAAACCAUGGAAUAAUGUGUGUUUUAUAGAUCAUUGUAAUUCAAGGGUGGAUGUUAUUUUUUUGUAAUUGACAGUCAAAAGAAUAUAAUUAUAAUAAAUUGAACUCAAAUAAUUUCAUAAAUCAAUGAAGCAUGUCUGUCAGAUUUGUUUAAAAAUUGUACCACUUCAAAAAUUCAACAUAUCAAUAUAAAUAUAAAUAUAUUAAUUAGGAUAAUAAGAUAAAAUAGAAGUUGCAAUUGCUUACUUAUUGGAACCAGAAUAUUUAGACUUACUAUGAGGCUGGAGAUUAAAGUAGCAGAUGUGUCGAAAACAACUAAUCUGAGAGUUUCUUGAUCCCCCAAAUGCAGACACUAGCUAACAAUUAUAUUAUUAAAUCCACAUGAUUCCAUUGCUACAUGGAACUUUUGUUCCUGGUGCACACCAGGAACUGGUGUCAGUUCCUGGUAUGCACCAGGAAUUAGAAACUGAGACCAGUUCCUGAUGCACGAUCAGGGACUGAUAUCAUUCCCUGGUAUCCACCAAGAACUGAGAUUCAGUUCCUGGUCCAUACCAGUUUUCUAUACACAGAUUUGGUGAUACAAGUUUUUAGACAUACAUAUUGAAGGCAAAUUUACUUGGCACUUUGACAAUCAGCUCAUAGGAUUUUACUACUUAGGAGUAGAAAUAAAUGUGGGAAUUUUUCUUAAUGUUAUCCUCUAUCUACAGCUAGACAAAAAAUAAAUAAGAAAAUGAAAAAUAAAAAGUAUAAUGGGUGCCUUUACACUAUCUCAACUGUCAAUAAUCAUAUACCUAAUCAUUUGAUAGUCUUUAAAACUGUGUAUUCCUUCUGUAUAGAACUAUAUCAGCAGCUUGUAAGUGGGAUUUCUUCACUCUCUCCGUUAUCUUCGAUUCAUGAAUUUAGAAUGACAAUAAUUUCAGUUCCACCAGGAACUGCUCUAACAAUCCAUCACUUAGGGGACAUUGAGAAUUAUUCAAAAACAAUUGGGGGCUACGAGAAUCCAUCACCCCUAAGAUUAUUGAGCUAAAAUAAAAUAUCGAAAAUCAAACCCACAAUAUAUUGUGCCUCCAACCUUAUCGAGCAUUAUAGGUUCUUUUGAACUUUAUAGAAAAUCAAAACAAGACCUCCAACAGUGAAUUUCAUUAAUCUUCCAACAGUCAUUGGUUUGUUAACAUCAUCUAUGGACAAAUUCUCACAACAAAUAAAAGAAAAAUAGAAGUGAGAUAUCAAACCUGGUUGCAAUCGGGCGAAGGAAGAAGAAUGGGCGCCGCAGGUCCUCCAAGAUCAACUACUCGUCAAUCUGGUGUUUGGGGCGAUGGAGAUUGUGCUUUACCAACAAGCAAUAUAGAGAGUGGAGAGGAACUUGACUCGCACGAUAUGGUCCUCCAAACCUUCGUUUUCAGUUCAAGACCCGAGUAACUUCAAUUUAUUUAUUUAUUUUUC
RNAcentral lists this long non-coding RNA (6409 nucleotides) under Manihot esculenta (cassava). Its description in RNAcentral is "long non-coding RNA (MESC_LNC004801)". Lineage: Eukaryota; Viridiplantae; Streptophyta; Magnoliopsida; Malpighiales; Euphorbiaceae. The record is from RNAcentral.